AAAGCAUAAAGUCAAGCUGUAAAGCUUUCACUUUCACAAUUCUUCCAUCAUUGUAUGUUAAUCACCCAUUUAUGCUACGCUCACUAAUAUCAAAGAGAGUUUAAGCUUCAAUAUGUAUUCACUGAAUUUGCUCAUUUCUACACUUACUAACAUGAAAGGCCUCUUUUUGUUGGUAAUGCACUGGCUUGCAUACACAUGGGUGCGUCACUGCCUGCUAUUUGAAAAAUCUUAGACCGGCUGAAGUGCUUACAGGUUUCACUUUACUGUCUGAGUUAAUGGUGCUGAUGCAGGCUUGUGGGUUUGCAGUGAGAAGUGAUCAGGAGUUUCAGUGUCACAGGGAUGUGGUUAGCUGAUGGUCAUCAUGUUUACAUGUGGGUAGUCAUGGACAAUGAGAAAGUGAAAUCAACUUCUGAGGGCUAGUUUUAGACGUGAGCUGAGUCUGAGAAAAGAUAGUUUACUUUAUAAUGGGUUUGAAAAAUCAGUGAAAACCUCUCCUGUCUUUUAAUAUCAGUCACCCAUGUUUCUGUUUUUUCCCUGCCUUAGUUUCCUUCCCAGAAUUCAGGUUCAUGUCACAACUUUAAGCAAACAGCUGAUACAUAAAAGAGAAGCAGAGAGCUGAUCCAUUUUUGGAGCCAUCAUGGAGGGAAGAUGAACUUCACACUGAUCUAACCAGCCAUGUAGGGUCACACCCAUUCAGUAUCAUGGACAUUUAAAGCAAGCUGUUCAUUUCUUCAAAAUGAUUUCCGCUUUUCUAGCAGCUAGUCUUCCCCUGUGAAAAGACUGAACUGAAUCUCAGAGACUACAGCAGGAAAUAAAUGCAAACAAGCACAGCACACUCCCUGCUAUGGGAUUGGUCAAAGUCUGCAGCACACUCUCAAAUCAAGUGACACCCAGCUUUAUGAGAGGAGGAAGAAUAAAAGUUCCUCAGGUUCGUGGAGCUGUCUAACAUCAUUUCCAGUCUCCAUUUCAAGCAGAAGAACUAGAUGACCUAAUAUUUCCUUUCCCAUCUCCAACUUCUACAAUGUCUACAUUUAGGAUGUAUGUUAUCAUCAUUUAUCCAGGUAUUGUACAGCCAUAGGAAGUGAAGGUCCCAUGCUCUAAGAACUUACUGUCUAAAUAGACAACCUAUAUACAGAUAGUGGGUGAAUGACAUGUACUGACAACCAGUUUGAUUCACCAGUAAAGU
Long non-coding RNA from Mauremys reevesii (Reeves's turtle), 1186 nucleotides. RefSeq lists it as uncharacterized. The transcript is spliced from 3 exons. NCBI's taxonomy places the organism in Eukaryota, Metazoa, Chordata, Testudines, Geoemydidae. The record is from RefSeq and is a predicted model, not a curated record.